GCAAGUCGAGCGGAAACGGCAAUAAAGAUUCUUCGGAUGAUUUAUUGGACGUCGAGCGGCGGACGGGUGAGUAAUGCUUAGGAAAUUGCCUUGAUGUGGGGGAUAACCAUUGGAAACGAUGGCUAAUACCGCAUAAUGCCUACGGACCAAAGGGGGGGAUCUUCGGACCUCCCGCUCAUAGAUUAGCCCAAGUGAGAUUAGCUAGUUGGUGAGGUAAGAGCUCACCAAGGCGACGAUCUCUAGCUGGUCUGAGAGGAUGAUC
This 262-nucleotide ribosomal RNA is filed under the name uncultured bacterium. RNAcentral's name for it is "partial 16S ribosomal RNA". It matches the Rfam family "Bacterial small subunit ribosomal RNA", at positions 57 to 305 of the family's 1533-position model. The record is from RNAcentral.